This 301-nucleotide ribosomal RNA is filed under the name uncultured bacterium. Its description in RNAcentral is "partial 16S ribosomal RNA". It matches the Rfam family "Bacterial small subunit ribosomal RNA", at positions 509 to 808 of the family's 1533-position model. The record is from RNAcentral.
CAGUAGCCGCGGAAUACAGAGGGUGCGAGCGUUAAUCGGAUUUACUGGGCGUAAAGCGUGCGUAGGCGGCUUUUUAAGUCGGAUGUGAAAUCCCUGAGCUUAACUUAGGAAUUGCAUUCGAUACUGGGAAGCUAGAGUAUGGGAGAGGAUGGUAGAAUUCCAGGUGUAGCGGUGAAAUGCGUAGAGAUCUGGAGGAAUACCGAUGGCGAAGGCAGCCAUCUGGCCUAAUACUGACGCUGAGGCACGAAAGCGAGGGGAGCAAACAGGAUUAGAUACCCCUGUAGUCCCUGUCUCUUAUACA